CUCCUUGGACUAGCCAGAGCAGUUUAACAGUAGGGGGCUGACAGGGGCAAAGUUGGUCUUGUAUUAAGGUAUUGGUGUAUUUACCAUCAUCACAGAAGGAAGAAAGUUAAAUCUAUCAGAGGCAAAGCUCUUUGAUGUGAUACACUCAAAAUACCACUCCCAUAAUAAAGGGGGAUAGUGCUCUGUGAAGGUAAGUUUAAAAACACAACAUUUUAGCUUUGUAUUGGCUCACUGAGGCUCUAUCUAUAUCAAAUUAAGAUCCAGCUCAAUGUCUUUUGUCCAGGCUUGAAAAUCAUCCCAGAAUGGCAAGGCAGCCAAAGAUCCUUCUGCAAAGAUCAAUUUAGCCCAGAUGCAAGUCCCUAUAGAGCAAGUCCUGAUUCUAGUCUGCAAAAACAAACUGGACACAUUUUGAGGCACUUGGAGAAUAAACCUUAAACGUUUAGUUUGGACCACUUUGACAAGUCUUACAACUUAAUAGAAGGAAACCUGGACAGCAUACAUCAGAAGGCUGAUCACUUUAGUUCAAAAUGUGUUACUGACCUUGAACAUGUCAUUACUGCUUCGGUUCCCCAUAAAGUGUAGAAUUAUAUUAGCAGUCCUCUGGGCCUGAUUAGAGACUUUUCAGUGCUUUCCUGCCUGCCUCGGAGGCCUGAAAAGUAUGUCCUAGAUAUUUGAAAGCCGUUUUUUAAAAAAAAAAAAAAAAUUAUGAUUGUAUUGUUUAUUUUUCAGCAAACUGUGUUGCUGGCAGGCCUAUUUGUGAAGAUUGCUACUUUUGUUUAACUGAUAGCAAGUCUUUCUUUAUAAAAUUGUUCACAUUGUGUAAGACAAAGGAUGGAGGUCAGUUCUCCCACUCAUAAUGGAAGAAUUCAGAGUUACACUAUAAAAUCAAUAGAAAAGUGUGUACAGGCAAAGGUCUGUGAUCCCAUCUACUGUGUUUUGUAAAUUAUACCUUAUGACUUAGUCUGAUAUCUUUUUUACUCUAUUUUGGUUUAUUCAGUAAGCCAUGAUAAAAGCAACUAUUUCUAUA
This is a long non-coding RNA of Candoia aspera, 1027 nucleotides long. RefSeq lists it as uncharacterized. Lineage: Eukaryota; Metazoa; Chordata; Lepidosauria; Squamata; Candoiidae. The record is from RefSeq and is a predicted model, not a curated record. The transcript is spliced from 2 exons.